AAGAGUAUGAGGGAAAAAUGGAAAAGAGGGACUGGCAGGGACAAAGAAGGGGAUUGAAACUUUAUUUUAGAAAACAGAUGGAGAAAUCAAGGCGCAAAGAGGUUAAGAAGCUUGCCCAGGGUUUGCCGGGACAUAGAUGGGAGUACUAAUUCACAACUAGAUGGAGAACCUGAUACAAGCAAGCAGAACUCUGGAAGGCAACAUCUUGAGAGCCCUGAAGUGACAAUGGGAUUCUGGGAAAGUCAAUUCCUGGAGCCCAGUCUCUUUAUCUGCAAAAUGGAAAUAAUUAUUACAAUGGAGCCUCUCCUGCCUGCUGGGCGGCAUCACAGGAGACAGUGUUUUAGAAAGUCCUCUGUAUGUUUGAGGUAGCAUUAACACCACCUCCCCCUGCCCCCCGCCAAUAAGGGCCUACAAAAGAAACAGCCAGGGAAACUGAGUCAGUAAGCACUGGAUUUGGGAGUUUGAGUAUUUCCAAGCAGAAGUCAUGAGGUCAAACUUUGUAAUACUAAUAAAUAGGAAGAAGCACAGGAAUCCCAUUUCUUUGAUCAACUUAUUAAUUUUUUAGUAAAUUCUCUCUCAUCAAUUGUGCUAUAAUGUUUUUGCAUCCCAGAAAGUUUUAUACAAUAUCUUGUGUUUCAUGCUCCUUGUUCAUCAAUAUAAU
This 661-nucleotide long non-coding RNA is filed under the name Rhinopithecus bieti (black snub-nosed monkey). Its description in RNAcentral is "lncRNA (ENSRBIG00000045791.1)". Lineage: Eukaryota; Metazoa; Chordata; Mammalia; Primates; Cercopithecidae. The record is from RNAcentral.